CAGGGAUUGCCCUAGUAACGGCGAGUGAAGCGGCAACAGCUCAAAUUUGAAAUCUGGCCCUCGGGUCCGAAUUGUAAUUUGUAGAGGAUGUUUUUGGUGCGGUAUCUUCCGAGUUCCUUGGAACAGGACGCCUUAGAGGGUGAGAGCCCCGUACGGUUGAAUGCCUAGCCUUUGUAAAACUCCUUCGACGAGUCGAGUAGUUUGGGAAUGCUGCUCUAAAUGGGAGGUAAAUUUCUUCUAAAGCUAAAUACCGGCCAGAGACCGAUAGCGCACAAGUAGAGUGAUCGAAAGAUGAAAAGCACUUUGAAAAGAGGGUUAAAUAGCACGUGAAAUUGUUGAAAGGGAAGGAUUUAUGACCAGACUUUUUCUAGGCGAAUCAUCCGGUGUUCUCACCGGUGCACUUCGUUUAGUUUAGGCCAGCAUCGAUUUUCGGGGUGGGAUAAAAGCUUUAGGAAUGUGGCUCCCUCGGGAGUGUUAUAGCCUAUUGCAUAAUACCGCCCUGGGGAUCGAGGUACGCGCUUCUGCAAGGAUGCUGGCGUAAUGGUUAUCAAUCACCCGUCUUGAAACACGGACCAAGGAGUCGAACAUUUGUGCAAGUGUUUGGGUGUUAAACCCUCACGCGUAAUGAAAGUGAACGGAGGUGAGAGCCCUUACGGGUGCAUCAUCGACCGAUCCUGAUGUCUUCGGAUGGAUUUGAGUAAGAGCAUAACUGUUCGGACCCGAAAGAUGGUGAACUAUGCGUGGAUAGGGUGAAGCCAGAGGAAACUCUGGUGGAGGCUCGCAGCGGUUCUGACGUGCAAAUCGAUCGUCAAAUCUGCGCAUGGGG
This 826-nucleotide ribosomal RNA is filed under the name Allelochaeta biseptata. Its description in RNAcentral is "partial 28S ribosomal RNA". It matches the Rfam family "Eukaryotic large subunit ribosomal RNA", at positions 69 to 922 of the family's 3401-position model. The record is from RNAcentral. Lineage: Eukaryota; Fungi; Ascomycota; Sordariomycetes; Amphisphaeriales; Sporocadaceae.